AGCGAACGCUGGCGGCAUGCCUAACACAUGCAAGUCGAACGAGACCUUCGGGUCUAGUGGCGCACGGGUGCGUAACGCGUGGGAAUCUGCCCUUAGGUACGGAAUAACAGUGAGAAAUUACUGCUAAUACCGUAUGAUGUCUUCGGACCAAAGAUUUAUCGCCUAGGGAUGAGCCCGCGUAGGAUUAGCUAGUUGGUGGGGUAAAGGCCUACCAAGGCGACGAUCCUUAGCGGUCUGAGAGGAUGAUCAGCCACACUGGGACUGAGACACGGCCCAGACUCCUACGGGAGGCAGCAGUGGGGAAUUUUGGACAAUGGACGCAAGUCUGAUCCAGCCAUGCCGCGUGCGGGAAGAAGGCC
Molecule: ribosomal RNA, 359 nt
Filed under: uncultured bacterium
Lineage: Bacteria
Description: bacterial SSU rRNA
Rfam family: Bacterial small subunit ribosomal RNA
Source: RNAcentral